GCCUUUGUGGUAUAGUGGUCAACACACUCGAAGCGUAUUCGAGAAGUCCAGGGUUCAAGUCCCGGCGACGGCA
Molecule: transfer RNA, 73 nt
Filed under: Stegodyphus mimosarum
Lineage: Eukaryota; Metazoa; Arthropoda; Arachnida; Araneae; Eresidae
Rfam family: tRNA
About the family: Transfer RNA (tRNA) molecules are approximately 80 nucleotides in length. Their secondary structure includes four short double-helical elements and three loops (D, anti-codon, and T loops).
Source: Rfam by way of RNAcentral